Molecule: unclassified non-coding RNA, 374 nt
Filed under: uncultured Pseudomonadota bacterium
Lineage: Bacteria; Pseudomonadati; Pseudomonadota
Description: uncultured proteobacterium contains 16S-23S intergenic spacer region
Source: RNAcentral
UCCGGUUUGUCACCGGCAGUCUCAUUAGAGUGCCCAACUAAAUGUAGCAACUAAUGACAAGGGUUGCGCUCGUUGCGGGACUUAACCCAACAUCUCACGACACGAGCUGACGACAGCCAUGCAGCACCUGUCUCUGCGUCCCUUGCGGGAAAACUCCCUUUAAGGAGCGGUCGCAGGAUGUCAAACCCUGGUAAGGUUCUGCGCGUUGCGUCGAAUUAAACCACAUGCUCCACCGCUUGUGCGGGCCCCCGUCAAUUCCUUUGAGUUUCAGUCUUGCGACCGUACUCCCCAGGCGCAGGACUUAACGCGUUAGCUGCGCCACUAAGCAGCAAGCUGCCUAACGGCUAGCGUUCAUAGUUUACGGCGUGGACUAC